CGGACGGGUGAGUAACACGUGGAUAACCUACCUAUGAGACUGGGAUAACUUCGGGAAACCGGAGCUAAUACCGGAUAAUAUAUUGAACCGCAUGGUUCAAUAGUGAAAGACGGUUUUGCUGUCACUUAUAGAUGGAUCCGCGCCGCAUUAGCUAGUUGGUAAGGUAACGGCUUACCAAGGCAACGAUGCGUAGCCGACCUGAGAGGGUGAUCGGCCACACUGGAACUGAGACACGGUCCAG
RNAcentral lists this ribosomal RNA (241 nucleotides) under uncultured Staphylococcus sp. Its description in RNAcentral is "partial 16S ribosomal RNA". It matches the Rfam family "Bacterial small subunit ribosomal RNA", at positions 99 to 334 of the family's 1533-position model. Lineage: Bacteria; Bacillati; Bacillota; Bacilli; Caryophanales; Staphylococcaceae. The record is from RNAcentral.